RNAcentral lists this non-coding RNA (28 nucleotides) under Mus musculus (house mouse). Lineage: Eukaryota; Metazoa; Chordata; Mammalia; Rodentia; Muridae. The record is from RNAcentral.
UGGAUUACAUCUUCAGAGUCUGCCAGGC